This 253-nucleotide ribosomal RNA is filed under the name uncultured bacterium. RNAcentral's name for it is "partial 16S ribosomal RNA". It matches the Rfam family "Bacterial small subunit ribosomal RNA", at positions 524 to 776 of the family's 1533-position model. RNAcentral also lists the same sequence under 1 other name. The record is from RNAcentral.
GACGAACCGAGCGAACGUUGUUCGGAAUCACUGGGCUUAAAGGGCGCGUAGGCGGGCUGCCAAGUCUGUGGUGAAAUCCUCCAGCUUAACUGGAGAACGGCCGUGGAUACUGGCGGUCUCGAGGAAGGUAGGGGCAAGCGGAACUGUGCGUGGAGCGGUGAAAUGCGUUGAUAUGCACAGGAACUCCGGUGGCGAAGGCGGCUUGCUGGACCUUUUCUGACGCUGAGGCGCGAAAGCUAGGGGAGCGAACGGG